CCCUUAGAUGUUCUGGGCCGCACGCGCGCUACACUGACGAAUGCAACGAGCUUAUAACCUUGGCCGAAAGGUCUGGGUAAUCUCCAAAUUUCGUCGUGAUGGGGAUAGAGUAUUGCAAUUAUUAAUCUUCAACGAGGAAUGCCUAGUAAGCGCAAGUCAUCAGCUUGCGUUGAUUACGUCCCUGCCCUUUGUACACACCGCCCGUCGCUCCUACCGAUUGAAUGGUCCGGUGAAGCGUUCGGACCGUGGCCUUUGGACGGUUCGCCGUCUGUUGGCUGCGGGAAGUUCGUUAAACCUUAUCAUUUAGAGGAAGGAGAAGUCGUAACA
This 327-nucleotide ribosomal RNA is filed under the name uncultured eukaryote. RNAcentral's name for it is "partial 18S ribosomal RNA". It matches the Rfam family "Eukaryotic small subunit ribosomal RNA", at positions 1470 to 1796 of the family's 1831-position model. The record is from RNAcentral.